This 419-nucleotide ribosomal RNA is filed under the name uncultured bacterium. RNAcentral's name for it is "bacterial SSU rRNA". It matches the Rfam family "Bacterial small subunit ribosomal RNA", at positions 363 to 774 of the family's 1533-position model. The record is from RNAcentral.
CUUCGGCAAUGGGCGAAAGCCUGACCGAGCGACACCGCGUGGAGGACGAAGCCCUUCGGGGUGUAAACUCCUUUUCGGAGGGACGAAUAAGGUCAUCAGGCAAUGGGUGACCGAUGACGGUACCUCCGGAACAAGGGACGGCUAACUCUGUGCCAGCAGCCGCGGUAAGACAGAGGUCCCGAGCGUUAUCCGGAAUCACUGGGCGUAAAGGGCGUCUGGGCGGCUCCGUGUGUCGUGCGUGAAAGCGCCCGGCUCAACCGGGAGAGGUCGGGCGAAACUGCGGAGCUUGAGGGCUGGAGGGGGAAGUGGAACUGUCGGAGUAGCGGUGAAAUGCGCAGAUACCGACAGGUACCUCGAUAGCGAAGGCAGCUUCCUGGCCAGACCCUGACGCUGAAGCGCGAAAGCAUGGGGAGCGAACC